GACGAACGCUGGCGGCGUGCUUAACACAUGCAAGUCGAACGAUGACGACCGAGCUUGCUCGGUCUGAUUAGUGGCGAACGGGUGAGUAACACGUGAGCAACCUGCCCUUCACUCUGGGAUAACCUCGGGAAAUCGGGGCUAAUACCGGAUAUGAGCUCCUGUCGCAUGGCGGGUGUUGGAAAGUUUUUCGGUGGAGGAUGGGCUCGCGGCCUAUCAGUUUGUUGGUGGGGUAGUGGCACACCAAGGCGAUGACGGGUAGCCGGCCUGAGAGGGUGAGGGGGAAGAAUGGGAGUAAGAUGCGGCGCGGACUGCGGCGGGAGGCAGCAGGGGGGCGGGUGGCACAGUGGGCUGCAGCCUGAUGACGCAUCGCAGCGGGCGGGAUGACGGACGUCGGGUUGCAAACGGCUUUCGCCGGGGACGAUGCGUGAGUGACGGUAAGGGGUAAAGAAGCACUGGCUAACUACGUG
RNAcentral lists this ribosomal RNA (467 nucleotides) under uncultured bacterium. RNAcentral's name for it is "partial 16S ribosomal RNA". It matches the Rfam family "Bacterial small subunit ribosomal RNA", at positions 28 to 507 of the family's 1533-position model. The record is from RNAcentral.